RNAcentral lists this ribosomal RNA (516 nucleotides) under Vishniacozyma tephrensis. RNAcentral describes it as "partial large subunit ribosomal RNA". It matches the Rfam family "Eukaryotic large subunit ribosomal RNA", at positions 12 to 534 of the family's 3401-position model. Lineage: Eukaryota; Fungi; Basidiomycota; Tremellomycetes; Tremellales; Bulleribasidiaceae. The record is from RNAcentral.
CAGGUAGGGCUACCCGCUGAACUUAAGCAUAUCAAUAAGCGGAGGAAAAGAAACUAACUAGGAUUCCCUUAGUAACGGCGAGUGAACCGGGAUGAGCUCAAAUUUAAAAUCUGGCGUCUUUCAGGCGUCCGAGUUGUAAUCUAUAGAGGCGUUUUCCGCGCCGGACCGCGUCCAAGUCUCUUGGAAUAGAGUAUCAAAGAGGGUGACAAUCCCGUACUUGACGCGACAACCGGUGCUCUGUGAUACGUUCUCAAUGAGUCGAGUUGUUUGGGAAUGCAGCUCUAAAUGGGUGGUAAAUUCCAUCUAAGGCUAAAUAUUGGCGAGAGACCGAUAGCGAACAAGUACCGUGAGGGAAAGAUGAAAAGCACUUUGGAAAGAGAGUUAAACAGCACGUGAAAUUGUUAAAAGGGAAACGAUUGAAGUCAGUCGUGUGAAAGGUAUUCAGCCGUCUCUGGCGGUGUAUUUGCCUUUCACGGGUCAACAUCAGUUUGAUCCGGUAGAAAAAGGCGGGAGGAA